This is a long non-coding RNA of Balaenoptera ricei (Rice's whale), 853 nucleotides long. RefSeq lists it as uncharacterized. Lineage: Eukaryota; Metazoa; Chordata; Mammalia; Artiodactyla; Balaenopteridae. The transcript is spliced from 4 exons. The record is from RefSeq and is a predicted model, not a curated record.
CACCGUGCAGAAGGUCUCAACAGCAUCCCUCUCUUAAGGCUGCAUCCUUGGAACACCUCCCACUGUGGGAACAGUGGGCAGAAGUUUUUUGACUGUGAAGCCUGUGGGAUCUUAGCUUCCCGACCAGGGAUCGAGCCCACACCCCCUGUGAAUGUGAAUGUGAAUUUGGAAAAACCUCCUCUCUUUGAUGUGACAAAGCACAUUCCCUCCAGAGGAGGAACAGAACUGCUUAUGCCAUUUUCCUAAAGAGAACACAAGGCUCAAAGGGACAGAGUUGGAAGUGAUGGAGCCAAGCAGAGAAAGGAACCCUACUUUAGAAAAACAAUGCAAAACUACAAACCUACAAAAUUAGCAGCAUCGAGAAAAGACCUGUCUUCUGCCAAAACUUAACCCAAACACACGCAGCAACUACCAUGAAGCUCUGGGCUCUCCUCCUCAUCAUGCUCACCUGUGAGGUUGUGAUGCUUCUGCCCGUGCUGGGAGGCCUCAAGCACAAACCUUUCUGUAGGUGAUGGGGCAAGGGAGGAAGGUGCUGUGCCCAGGCCUGGGAUGUCUGCCACAACCGAUUCAGGGCCUACCUUUCUAGGAUCACCCUUUAAAGGACCAGAAACUUCUUUUAAGCGGAGACAUCCAAGAAAGAUUAGGUUGAAUGUUCCCAAUCUGGCAUCGUUUCAAGCUUCCUCUCCCAGUUCUGAAAGCAAUAGUGGGUACAUCGAGAGGGAAUGUAGCUUUUGCCCACAUUCCAUAAGCUAGCAGGAAACAAUAUUUGCCAAUGUCAGACCACCUUGGGUAGAGGAAACACCAACACAGAACUUCCCUCUGAGCCCAUAUUUUCAGAAUCUCUGUGCCUGAU